This 75-nucleotide ribosomal RNA is filed under the name Bacteroides fragilis str. B1 (UDC16-1). Its description in RNAcentral is "partial 16S ribosomal RNA". Lineage: Bacteria; Pseudomonadati; Bacteroidota; Bacteroidia; Bacteroidales; Bacteroidaceae. The record is from RNAcentral.
UGCAAAUGACCUUUGAUCCGAAGAUUUCCGAAUGGGACAACCCGGCAUUCUGAAGGAAUGUCAUCCAACUUGGUU